This 725-nucleotide ribosomal RNA is filed under the name uncultured bacterium. Its description in RNAcentral is "bacterial SSU rRNA". It matches the Rfam family "Bacterial small subunit ribosomal RNA", at positions 588 to 1311 of the family's 1533-position model. The record is from RNAcentral.
UCUGCUGUGAAAUCCCGAGGCUCAACCUCGGGUCUGCAGUGGGUACGGGCAGACUAGAGUGCGGUAGGGGAGAUUGGAAUUCCUGGUGUAGCGGUGGAAUGCGCAGAUAUCAGGAGGAACACCGAUGGCGAAGGCAGAUCUCUGGGCCGUUACUGACGCUGAGGAGCGAAAGGGUGGGGAGCAAACAGGCUUAGAUACCCUGGUAGUCCACCCCGUAAACGUUGGGAACUAGUUGUGGGGUCCAUUCCACGGAUUCCGUGACGCAGCUAACGCAUUAAGUUCCCCGCCUGGGGAGUACGGCCGCAAGGCUAAAACUCAAAGGAAUUGACGGGGACCCGCACAAGCGGCGGAGCAUGCGGAUUAAUUCGAUGCAACGCGAAGAACCUUACCAAGGCUUGACAUAUACGAGAACGGGCCAGAAAUGGUCAACUCUUUGGACACUCGUAAACAGGUGGUGCAUGGUUGUCGUCAGCUCGUGUCGUGAGAUGUUGGGUUAAGUCCCGCAACGAGCGCAACCCUCGUUCUAUGUUGCCAGCACGUAAUGGUGGGAACUCAUGGGAUACUGCCGGGGUCAACUCGGAGGAAGGUGGGGAUGACGUCAAAUCAUCAUGCCCCUUAUGUCUUGGGCUUCACGCAUGCUACAAUGGCCGGUACAAAGGGCUGCAAUACCGUGAGGUGGAGCGAAUCCCAAAAAGCCGGUCCCAGUUCGGAUUGAGGUCUGCAAC